GAUGAAGAACGCAGCGAAAUGCGAUACGUAAUGUGAAUUGCAGAAUUCAGUGAAUCAACGAAUCUUUGAACGCAUAUUGCGCUCUCUGGUAUUCCGGAGAGCAUGCUUGUUUGAGUAUCAGUAAACACCUCAACUUCCAUAUCUUUUUUGAAAUGGGAGUUGGACUUGAGUGAUCCCAACGCUUUUCCUCACCGAAAAGUGGCGGGUUACUUGAAAUGCAGGUGCAGCUGGACUUUUCUCUGAGCUAUAAGCAUAUCUAUUUAGUCUGCCUAAAAAACAGAUUAUUACCUUUGCUGCAGCUAACAUAAAGGAGAUUAGUUCUUGUGCUGACUGAUGCAGGAUUCACAAAGACAGGCUUCGGCCGACUUUGUAAACUCGAUCUCAAAUCAAGUAAGACUACCCGCUGAACUUAAGCAUAUCAAUAAGCGGAGGA
Molecule: unclassified non-coding RNA, 433 nt
Filed under: soil metagenome
Description: partial contains 5.8S ribosomal RNA, internal transcribed spacer 2, and large subunit ribosomal RNA
Rfam family: 5.8S ribosomal RNA (bases 1-120)
Source: RNAcentral